Molecule: ribosomal RNA, 484 nt
Filed under: uncultured bacterium
Lineage: Bacteria
Description: partial 16S ribosomal RNA
Rfam family: Bacterial small subunit ribosomal RNA
Source: RNAcentral
AUUGAACGCUGGCGGCAUGCCUUACACAUGCAAGUCGAACGGCAGCACGGGAAGCGCUUGCUCUGCCGGUGGCGGACGGGCGGGUGGUGCAUGGAAACGUCGGCAUCUGUUGGGGCUAGGGGGGCGACGGAGGGAUUCUUACCGCAUACCAGCAGAGGAUGUACGCGGGGGAGCAGGGGACCUCGGGACCUUGCGCGAGCCGAUGUCGGAUUGGCUAGUUGGUGGGGUAACGGCCUACCAAGGCGACGAUCCGUAGCUGGUCUGAGAGGACGAGCAGCCACACUGGGACUGAGACACGGUCCAGACUCCUACGGGAGGCAGCAGUGGGGAAUUUUGGACAAUGGGCGCAAGCCUGAUCCAGCCAUGCCGCGUGGGUGAAGAAGGCCUUCGGGUUGUAAACCGCUUUUGUUCGGGAAGAAAACCUCUGGGCUAAUACCCCGGGGUGAUGACGGUACCGGAAGAAUAAGCACCGGCUAACUUCGUG